AACGCGAAGAACCUUACCUACUCUUGACAUCCAGAGAAUUCGCUAGAGAUAGCUUAGUGCCUUCGGGAACUCUGAGACAGGUGCUGCAUGGCUGUCGUCAGCUCGUGUUGUGAAAUGUUGGGUUAAGUCCCGCAACGAGCGCAACCCUUAUCCUUUGUUGCCAGCACGUAAUGGUGGGAACUCAAAGGAGACUGCCGGUGAUAAACCGGAGGAAGGUGGGGAUGACGUCAAGUCAUCAUGGCCCUUACGAGUAGGGCUACACACGUGCUACAAUGGCGUACACAAAGAGAAGCGAACUCGCGAGAGCAAGCGGACCUCAUAAAGUACGUCGUAGUCCGGAUCGGAGUCUGCAACUCGACUCCGUGAAGUCGGAAUCGCUAGUAAUCGUAGAUCAGAAUGCUACGGUGAAUACGUUCCCGGGCCUUGUACACACCG
RNAcentral lists this ribosomal RNA (435 nucleotides) under Serratia sp. hong4-6. Its description in RNAcentral is "bacterial SSU rRNA". It matches the Rfam family "Bacterial small subunit ribosomal RNA", at positions 958 to 1392 of the family's 1533-position model. The record is from RNAcentral. Lineage: Bacteria; Pseudomonadati; Pseudomonadota; Gammaproteobacteria; Enterobacterales; Yersiniaceae.